UGCUUUUUUCGCCCAGGCGGAGAAGGGCCGCAAACCGAAGUAAUGGUCAAAUUCAUCGAUGAUGAAAAGAAAAAGUAUGGGGUCGAGUCGAUUUGCAGAAUCCUGCCAAUCGCCCCA
Non-coding RNA from Enhydrobacter aerosaccus, 117 nucleotides. The record is from Rfam. NCBI's taxonomy places the organism in Bacteria, Pseudomonadati, Pseudomonadota, Alphaproteobacteria, Hyphomicrobiales.